AAUCGAACUCGGAGAUAGCUGGUUCUCCCCGAAAUAGCUUUAGGGCUAGCCUCAUAUUAGAUACCCGGAGGUAAAGCACUGAAUGGCCUAGCGCCCGAGAGGGUAGCGAAGCCUAUCAAACUAAGAAUGCCGGAGUAUUGAUGUAUGGGAGUCAGACAGUGUGAGAUAAAUCUCAUUGUCAAAAGGGAAACAGCCCAGAUCUACAGCUAAGGUCCCAAAUUGUAUCUAAGUGGAAAACGAUGUGGAAAUACGCAGACAACCAGGAUGUUGGCUCAGAAGCAGCCACUCAUUUAAAGAGUGCGUAAUAGCUCACUGGUCGAGCGUCUCUGCGCGGAAAAUUUAACGGGGCUAAGAUACAAACCGAAGCUUAGGCUGCAUCGUAAGAUGCGGGGUAGGGGAGCGUUGUGUAAGCGGAGAAACAGUAGCGUAAGCGGCUGUGGAGUUUACAGAAGUGAGAAUGCCGGAAUGAGUAGCGCGAAUGUGGUGAGAAUCCACAUGGCCGGAAACCUCAGGUUUUUGGAGGAAGGUUCGUCCGCUCCAAGUUAGGCGGGAGCUAAGGUCAGGCCGAAAGGCGUAGCCGAUGCACAGACGGUAGAGAUUCCGUCCCCACCGAAAGAUUUAAGCACAGGGACACUUUUUGAAGGUCGGAGCCAGGUGUUGGUUCUGGUAGUGAUCGAGGGAAAUAUAGUACCGAAGUCCGGCUGGAAGAGAGGCGAGAAAAGCUGUGUGUAUAUCUAAGGUGCCCGUACCGCAAACCGACACAGGUAGGUAGGAAGAAGAUUCUAAGGCCAACGGGAGAAGGGUUGUUAAGGAACUCGGCAAGUUGACCCCGUAACUUCGGAAUAAGGGGUGCUCACGAGAGUGAGCCGCAGAGAAUAGGCCCAGGCAACUGUUUACCAAAAACACAGGUUUGUGCUAAAUCGAAAGAUGACGUAUACGAGCUGACGCCUGCCCGGUGCUGGAAGGUUAAAAGGAGAUGUGCAAGCAUUGAAUUGAAGCCCCAGUGAACGGCGGCCGUAACUAUAACGGUCCUAAGGUAGCGAAAUUCCUUGUCAGGUAAGUUCUGACCCGCAUGAAAGGCGUAAUGAUUUGGGCACUGUCUCAACAGCCCGCCCGGCGAAAUUGUAGUACCGGUGAAGAUGCCGGUUACCCGCGACAAGACGGAAAGACCCCAUGGAGCUUUACUGUAGCCUGAUAUUGGGUUUCGGUGUUGCAUGCACAGGAUAGAUGGGACGCUGGGAAAGAAGCGCUUUGGCGUUUCUGGAGCGGACGUUGGGAUACCAUCCUUGCGACAUUGGAAUUCUAACCUGCGCCUCUGAAUCGAGGCGGGGGACAUUGUCAGGUGGGCAGUUUGACUGGGGCGGUCGCCUCCUAAAAAGUAGCGGAGGCGUUCAAAGGUUCGUUCGAUCUGGACGGAAACCAGAUGAUUGAGUGCAAACGCAUAAACGAGCCUGACUGCGAGACUGACGGGUCGAGCAGAGACGAAAGUCGGAGUUAGUGAUCCGGUGGUAUGUGAGUGGAAAUGCCAUCGCUCAACGGAUAAAAGUUACCCUGGGGAUAACAGGCUGAUCUCCCCCAAGAGUCCACAUCGACGGGGAGGUUUGGCACCUCGAUGUCGGCUCAUCGCAUCCUGGGGCUGAAUUCGGUCCCAAGGGUUUGGCUGUUCGCCAAUUAAAGCGGUACGCGAGCUGGGUUCAGAACGUCGUGAGACAGUUCGGUCCCUAUCUGUCGUGGGCGCAGGAUAUUUGAAAGGCGCUGUCCCUAGUACGAGAGGACCGGGAUGGACGAACCUCUGGUGCACCAGUUGUCACGCCAGUGGCACAGCUGGGCAGCUAUGUUCGGAUCGGAUAAACGCUGAAAGCAUCUAAGCGUGAAGCCGGCCUUAAGAUAAGAUAUCCCACUGAGUCAAUCAGGUAAGACCCCUUGA
RNAcentral lists this ribosomal RNA (1927 nucleotides) under human gut metagenome. RNAcentral's name for it is "bacterial LSU rRNA". It matches the Rfam family "Bacterial large subunit ribosomal RNA", at positions 831 to 2841 of the family's 2925-position model. The record is from RNAcentral.